GAUGAACGCUGGCGGCGUGCCUAAUACAUGCAAGUCGAGCGAACAGACGAGGAGCUUGCUCCCCUGACGUUAGCGGCGGACGGGUGAGUAACACGUGGAUAACCUACCUAUCAGACUGGGAUAACUUCGGGAAACCGGAGCUAAUACCGGAUAAUAUAUUGAACCGCAUGGUUCAAUAGUUAAAGACGGUUUUGCUGUCACUUAUAGAUGGAUCCGCGCCGCAUUAGCUAGUUGGUAAGGUAACGGCUUACCAAGGCAACGAUGCGUAGCCGACCUGAGAGGGUGGUCGGCCACACUGGAACUGAGACACGGUCCAGACUCCUACGGGAGGAAGCAGUAGGGAAUCUUACGCAAUGGGCGAAAGCUUGACGGAGCAACGCCGCGGGAGUGAUGAAGGUCUUCGGAUCGUAAAACUCUGUUAUUAGGGAAGAACAAAUGUGUAAGUAACUAUGCACGUCUUGACGGUACCUAAUCAGAAAGCCACGGCUAACUACGUG
Molecule: ribosomal RNA, 497 nt
Filed under: uncultured bacterium
Lineage: Bacteria
Description: partial 16S ribosomal RNA
Rfam family: Bacterial small subunit ribosomal RNA
Source: RNAcentral